This 530-nucleotide ribosomal RNA is filed under the name uncultured bacterium. RNAcentral describes it as "bacterial SSU rRNA". It matches the Rfam family "Bacterial small subunit ribosomal RNA", at positions 35 to 539 of the family's 1533-position model. The record is from RNAcentral.
CUGGCUACGAUGAACGCUAGCGGCAGGCCUAAUACAUGCAAGUCGAACGAGAUCCAAGAGCUUGCUUUUGGUGAAAGUGGCGCACGGGUGCGUAACGCGUAUGCAACCUACCUUAAUCAGGGGGAUAGCCUCUCGAAAGAGAGAUUAACACCGCAUAACAUUAUGAUAUGGCAUCAUAUUAUAAUCAAAUAUUUAUAGGAUUAAGAUGGGCAUGCGUGACAUUAGCUAGUUGGUGAGGUAACGGCUCACCAAGGCUACGAUGUCUAGGGGAUCUGAGAGGAUGACCCCCCACACUGGUACUGAGACACGGACCAGACUCCUACGGGAGGCAGCAGUAAGGAAUAUUGGUCAAUGGAGGCAACUCUGAACCAGCCAUGCCGCGUGCAGGAAGACGGCCCUAUGGGUUGUAAACUGCUUUUAUACGGGAAUAAACCUCUCUACGUGUAGGGAGUUGAAUGUACUGUAAGAAUAAGGAUCGGCUAACUCCGUGCCAGCAGCCGCGGUAAUACAAGCCGAAUUCCAGCCCACUA